GAUGAACGCUGGCGGCGUGCUUAACACAUGCAAGUCGAACGAAGCAUUUAGGACAGAUUACUUCGGUUUGAAGUUCUUUAUGACUGAGUGGCGGACGGGUGAGUAACGCGUGGGUAACCUGCCUUGUACUGGGGGAUAGCAGCUGGAAACGGCUGGUAAUACCGCAUAAGCGCACAAUGUUGCAUGACAUGGUGUGAAAAACUCCGGUGGUAUAAGAUGGACCCGCGUCUGAUUAGCUAGUUGGUGAGAUAACAGCCCACCAAGGCGACGAUCAGUAGCCGACCUGAGAGGGUGACCGGCCACAUUGGGACUGAGACACGGCCCAGACUCCUACGGGAGUCAGCAGUGGGGAAUAUUGCACAAUGGAGGAAACUCUGAUGCAGCGACGCCGCGUGAGUGAAGAAGUAAUUCGUUAUGUAAAGCUCUAUCAGCAGGGAAGAUAGUGACGGUACCUGACUAAGAAGCUCCGGCUAAAUACGU
Molecule: ribosomal RNA, 480 nt
Filed under: uncultured bacterium
Lineage: Bacteria
Description: partial 16S ribosomal RNA
Rfam family: Bacterial small subunit ribosomal RNA
Source: RNAcentral